This 400-nucleotide unclassified non-coding RNA is filed under the name soil metagenome. RNAcentral describes it as "partial contains 5.8S ribosomal RNA, internal transcribed spacer 2, and large subunit ribosomal RNA". The stretch from base 1 to 122 matches the Rfam family "5.8S ribosomal RNA", at positions 35 to 154 of the family's 154-position model. The record is from RNAcentral.
GAUGAAGAACGUAGCGAAAUGCGAUACUUGGUGUGAAUUGCAGAAUCCCGUGAACCAUCGAGUCUUUGAACGCAAGUUGCGCCUCAAGCCAUUAGGUUGAGGGCACGUCUGCCUGGGCGUCACAUAUCGUUGCCUGAUGCCAGUUUCCUCGUGAUGGGAGACUGUGCAGGGCGAAUGAUGGCUUCCCGUGAGCAUUGUUGCCUCAUGGUUGGUUGAAAAUUGAGUCCUUGGUAGGGAGCGCCGUGAUAGAUGGUGGUUGAGUGACGAACGAGACCCAAUCAUGUGAGACCCCUACCGAAUUUGGCCUUCAUGACCCACACGCGUCUUUGGAACGCUCAUGACGAGACCUCAGGUCAGGCGGGGCUACCCGCUGAGUUUAAGCAUAUCAAUAAGCGGAGGA